UGGGGAAUUUUGGACAAUGGGGGCAACCCUGAUCCAGCCAUGCCGCGUGAGUGAAGAAGGCCUUCGGGUUGUAAAGCUCUUUCAGACGGAAAGAAAUCGGGUGGGUCAAUACCCUGCCUGGAUGACGGUACUGUCAGAAGAAGCACCGGCUAACUACGUGCCAGCAGCCGCGGUAAUACGUAGGGUGCGAGCGUUAAUCGGAAUUACUGGGCGUAAAGCGUGCGCAGGCGGUUGUGUAAGACAGGUGUGAAAUCCCCGGGCUUAACCUGGGAACUGCGCUUGUGACUGCACGGCUAGAGUACGGCAGAGGGGGGUGGAAUUCCACGUGUAGCAGUGAAAUGCGUAGAUAUGUGGAGGAACACCGAUGGCGAAGGCAGCCCCCUGGGCCGAUACUGACGCUCAUGCACGAAAGCGUGGGGAGCAAACAGG
This 429-nucleotide ribosomal RNA is filed under the name uncultured Azoarcus sp. RNAcentral describes it as "bacterial SSU rRNA". It matches the Rfam family "Bacterial small subunit ribosomal RNA", at positions 355 to 776 of the family's 1533-position model. Lineage: Bacteria; Pseudomonadati; Pseudomonadota; Betaproteobacteria; Rhodocyclales; Zoogloeaceae. The record is from RNAcentral.